UGACCGGGGUUGCGGACAGUGUCUGGUGGGUAGUUUGACUGGGGCGGUCUCCUCCCAAAGCGUAACGGAGGAGCACGAAGGUUAGCUAAUCCUGGUCGGACAUCAGGAGGUUAGUGCAAUGGCAUAAGCUAGCUUGACUGCGAGCGUGACGGCGCGAGCAGGUGCGAAAGCAGGUCAUAGUGAUCCGGUGGUUCUGAAUGGAAGGGCCAUCGCUCAACGGAUAAAAGGUACUCCGGGGAUAACAGGCUGAUACCGCCCAAGAGUUCAUAUCGACGGCGGUGUUUGGCACCUCGAUGUCGGCUCAUCACAUCCUGGGGCUGAAGUAGGUCCCAAGGGUAUGGCUGUUCGCCAUUUAAAGUGGUACGCGAGCUGGGUUUAGAACGUCGUGAGACAGUUCGGUCCCUAUCUGCCGUGGGCGCUGGAGAAUUGAGGGGGGCUGCUCCUAGUACGAGAGGACCGGAGUGGACGCAUCACUGGUGUUCGGGUUGUCAUGCCAAUGGCACUGCCCGGUAGCUAAAUGCGGAAGAGAUAAGUGCUGAAAGCAUCUAAGCACGAAACUUGCCCCGAG
This 568-nucleotide ribosomal RNA is filed under the name Klebsiella pneumoniae. Its description in RNAcentral is "partial 23S ribosomal RNA". It matches the Rfam family "Bacterial large subunit ribosomal RNA", at positions 2236 to 2803 of the family's 2925-position model. Lineage: Bacteria; Pseudomonadati; Pseudomonadota; Gammaproteobacteria; Enterobacterales; Enterobacteriaceae. The record is from RNAcentral.